AACGGACGCUGGCGGCAUGCCUAACACAUGCAAGUCGAACGAGACCUUCGGGUCUAGUGGCGCACGGGUGCGUAACGCGUGGGAACCUGCCCUUAGGUUCGGAAUAACUCCCCGAAAGGGGUGCUAAUACCGGAUAAUGUCUUCGGACCAAAGAUUUAUCGCCUUUGGAUGGGCCCGCGUUGGAUUAGCUAGUUGGUAGGGUAAAAGCCUACCAAGGCGACGAUCCAUAGCUGGUCUGAGAGGAUGAUCAGCCACACUGGGACUGAGACACGGCCCAGACUCCUACGGGAGGCAGCAGUGGGGAAUACUGGACAAUGGGCGAAAGCCUGAUCCAGCAAUGCCGCGUGAGUGAUGAAGGCCUUAGGGUUGUAAAGCUCUUUUACCCGGGAUGAUAAUGACAGUACCGGGAGAAUAAGCUCCGGCUAACUCCGUG
RNAcentral lists this ribosomal RNA (433 nucleotides) under uncultured bacterium. RNAcentral's name for it is "partial 16S ribosomal RNA". It matches the Rfam family "Bacterial small subunit ribosomal RNA", at positions 29 to 507 of the family's 1533-position model. The record is from RNAcentral.